RNAcentral lists this ribosomal RNA (378 nucleotides) under uncultured bacterium. Its description in RNAcentral is "bacterial SSU rRNA". It matches the Rfam family "Bacterial small subunit ribosomal RNA", at positions 975 to 1375 of the family's 1533-position model. The record is from RNAcentral.
CAACCCUUGACAUCCUGUGCUACAUCCAGAGAUGGAUGGUUCCUUUCGGGGACGCAGUGACAGGUGCUGCAUGGCUGUCGUCAGCUCGUGUCGUGAGAUGUUCGGUUAAGUCCGGCAACGAGCGCAACCCACGUCUUUAGUUGCCAGCAGUUCGGCUGGGCACUCUAAAGAAACUGCCCGUGAUAAGCGGGAGGAAGGUGUGGAUGACGUCAAGUCCUCAUGGCCCUUACGGGUUGGGCUACACACGUGCUACAAUGGUGUCUACAGUGGGUUAAUCUCCAAAAGACAUCUCAGUUCGGAUUGGGGUCUGCAACUCGACCCCAUGAAGUCGGAAUCGCUAGUAAUCGCGUAACGGCAUGACGCGGUGAAUACGUUCCC